GACGUGGUUCCACUAUGAUAGACCCCUCAGUAAUUUUUGGGAAUUAUUUACCACCCCCUCAGAAAUUUUCGUCAACAGGUAUACCUUCCUCCUCCCCCCUCAGAAAUUUAAAAAAAUUUUUUAACUCCUUGGAAAAUUACAAAAAUGUUGACACCUUAAAAAAUUUUCCUUUCACAAACCCCCUCGGAAAUUUCAACUUGGCACACCCUCAGAAAUUCAAAAUUUCAGACCCCCUUCGGAAAAUCUAGUCAACAGGAGGGUGUGGAUAUUAAAUGGAAUGGCCCUGUACUUCGUAUUAAUAUAUAACUACAUGAACUAAUUAUUAAAAAUAAACUGACCUUCAAACUGAAGAACUUGAUUGGCUUGUACACAUUGGUUUCUUUGUCAUAUAGUUCAAUUGCUGUUGCUUGUAAAUGUUUUAUAAACCAGUACUGCGAAGUAGCGAAAUUUCGGGCCGUCUUUCACAACAAAUAACAUCACAAUAACUGCACAUCUUUUUCUCUUUAAUACAGAAUCAUUUUCCCCGUCCAUUGAGUUAUAAUUUCCAAGACGAACCAGUCGCUAUAACGUAAAAUAAGCGGGUAUUUGUGAACAAAAAUGCCCUUUGAUAUAACACGAGGUAACCAGCGCCAUCUUGUCUUCUCCAAACAUUACAGAUUUUCCCGCCAAAACCCGCCCCCAA
Non-coding RNA from Paramuricea clavata, 682 nucleotides. The record is from the annotation of a GenBank genome assembly. Lineage: Eukaryota; Metazoa; Cnidaria; Anthozoa; Malacalcyonacea; Plexauridae.